This is a non-coding RNA of Camellia sinensis, 277 nucleotides long. NCBI's taxonomy places the organism in Eukaryota, Viridiplantae, Streptophyta, Magnoliopsida, Ericales, Theaceae. The record is from RefSeq and is a predicted model, not a curated record.
GUUAAAUCAAGAAUGAUGGGGAUUCUACAUACAAAAUUACACUAGAUUGUUUCAUCAAGACUCUGAGAGCGAAGCUAAGAUGUUUGUUAGAAGUAUAGAGUCGGCUUGAGUUAGAAGGAUAGGCAAUGCAGCCAAAUGUGGGUGAAAUUUUUUAUUAGGAUUGCCUCCAGAAGAACCGGAUGCUCUGAAGAGAAAUAAAAUCCCUAUUGUUGUUGUUGUACUCUUUUUUGAUAAUAAAGGGUUCCUACAGGGAAAUCAAUUGAAAAGAUUUUACUAA